UGCAAGUCGAGCGGAUGAAGGGAGCUUGCUCCUGGAUUUAGCGGCGGACGGGUGAGUAAUGCCUAGGAAUCUGCCUGGUAGUGGGGGAUAACGUUCCGAAAGGAACGCUAAUACCGCGUACGUCCUACGGGAGAAAGCAGGGGACCUUCGGGCCUUGCGCUAUCAGAUGAGCCUAGGUCGGAUUAGCUAGUUGGUGAGGUAAUGGCUCACCAAGGCGACGAUCCGUAACUGGUCUGAGAGGAUGAUCAGUCACACUGGAACUGAGACACGGUCCAGACUCCUACGGGAGGCAGCAGUGGGGAAUAUUGGACAAUGGGCGAAAGCCUGAUCCAGCCAUGCCGCGUGUGUGAAGAAGGUCUUCGGAUUGUAAAGCACUUUAAGUUGGGAGGAAGGGUUGUACGUUAAUACCGUGCAAUUUUGACGUUACCGACAGAAUAAGCACCGGCUAACUUCGUGCCAGCAGCCGCGGUAAUACGAAGGGUGCAAGCGUUAAUCGGAAUUACUGGGCGUAAAGCGCGCGUAGGUGGUUCAGUAAGUUGGAAGUGAAAUCCCCGGGCUCAACCUGGGAACUGCUUUCAAAACUGCUGAGCUAGAGUACGGUAGAGGGUAGUGGAAUUUCCUGUGUAGCGGUGAAAUGCGUAGAUAUAGGAAGGAACACCAGUGGCGAAGGCGACUACCUGGACUGAUACUGACACUGAGGUGCGAAAGCGUGGGGAGCAAACAGGAUUAGAUACCCUGGUAGUCCACGCCGUAAACGAUGUCAACUAGCCGUUGGGAUCCUUGAGAUCUUAGUGGCGCAGCUAACGCAUUAAGUUGACCGCCUGGGGAGUACGGCCGCAAGGUUAAAACUCAAAUGAAUUGACGGGGGCCCGCACAAGCGGUGGAGCAUGUGGUUUAAUUCGAAGCAACGCGAAGAACCUUACCUGGCCUUGACAUGCUGAGAACUUUCCAGAGAUGGAUUGGUGCCUUCGGGAACUCAGACACAGGUGCUGCAUGGCUGUCGUCAGCUCGUUGCCGUGAGAUGUUGGGUUAAGUCCCGUAACGAGGCCCAACCCUUGUCCUUAGUUACCAGC
RNAcentral lists this ribosomal RNA (1073 nucleotides) under Pseudomonas sp. 904B6_12EESBL. RNAcentral's name for it is "bacterial SSU rRNA". It matches the Rfam family "Bacterial small subunit ribosomal RNA", at positions 56 to 1122 of the family's 1533-position model. Lineage: Bacteria; Pseudomonadati; Pseudomonadota; Gammaproteobacteria; Pseudomonadales; Pseudomonadaceae. The record is from RNAcentral.